CGUCGUGUCACCUCAAGCAAGUUACUUCCCAGACGUUUAGCCUGCACUCGACACGUUCCAAAGGAGCUUUCCGACAGAGACAUUCCCUGUAUUUCAAGCUAAAGUCAGAGAUUGGAAGAGCA
Molecule: long non-coding RNA, 122 nt
Organism: Herpailurus yagouaroundi (jaguarundi)
Lineage: Eukaryota; Metazoa; Chordata; Mammalia; Carnivora; Felidae
Exons: 3
Source: RefSeq, a predicted model, not a curated record